CACUCCUGCGGGAGGCAGCAGUGGGGAAUAUUGCACAAUGGGCGCAAGCCUGAUGCAGCCAUGCCGCGUGUAUGAAGAAGGCCUUCGGGUUGUAAAGUACUUUCAGCGGGGAGGAAGGCGAUAAGGUUAAUAACCUUGUCGAUUGACGUUACCCGCAGAAGAAGCACCGGCUAACUCCGUGCCAGCAGCCGCGGUAAUACGGAGGGUGCAAGCGUUAAUCGGAAUUACUGGGCGUAAAGCGCACGCAGGCGGUCUGUCAAGUCGGAUGUGAAAUCCCCGGGCUCAACCUGGGAACUGCAUUCGAAACUGGCAGGCUAGAGUCUUGUAGAGGGGGGUAGAAUUCCAGGUGUAGCGGUGAAAUGCGUAGAGAUCUGGAGGAAUACCGGUGGCGAAGGCGGCCCCCUGGACAAAGACUGACGCUCAGGUGCAAAAGCGUGGGGAGCAAACAGGAUUAGAAACCCUUGUAGUCCC
This 471-nucleotide ribosomal RNA is filed under the name uncultured organism. Its description in RNAcentral is "partial 16S ribosomal RNA". It matches the Rfam family "Bacterial small subunit ribosomal RNA", at positions 334 to 797 of the family's 1533-position model. The record is from RNAcentral.